RNAcentral lists this ribosomal RNA (114 nucleotides) under Thermoflexia bacterium. Lineage: Bacteria; Bacillati; Chloroflexota; Thermoflexia. The record is from RNAcentral.
GGUGCUUGGAGCGGCGGGGAGACACCCGGUUCCAUCUCGCACCCGGCAGUUAAGUCCGUCAGCGCCGAUGGUACUGGAGGGGCAGCCCUCUGGGAGAGUAGGUCAGCGCCAAAC